Enterococcus columbae is the source of this 132-nucleotide regulatory RNA element. It matches the Rfam family "Ribosomal protein L20 leader". From Rfam's summary of the family: This family is a putative r-protein leader autoregulatory structure found in B. subtilis and other low-GC Gram-positive bacteria. The record is from Rfam. Lineage: Bacteria; Bacillati; Bacillota; Bacilli; Lactobacillales; Enterococcaceae.
AAAUGAAAGUAGAGGCACCCGCUUCUCGCCUAAGGGAUUUUGUCGCUGGGCAGAAUAUGACUAGAUCGCUAUUGUAUUUAGUAGCAAUCAGUAUGUGCGGGUUCAAGAAUGAACUCGUUUUUUUGUGUGUUU